Aphidius gifuensis is the source of this 67-nucleotide non-coding RNA. NCBI's taxonomy places the organism in Eukaryota, Metazoa, Arthropoda, Insecta, Hymenoptera, Braconidae. The record is from the annotation of a RefSeq genome assembly.
AAUUAAGAAGCAUUAAUUAUGCAUUCAAUUUCGGCUUGUAAUAAGAUUUAAAUUUAAUCCUUAAUUA